AUGCAUUUGUAAAUAUAUAUUUAUAUAUUUGUAUGUGUGUAUAUAUAUAUAUAUAUAUAUAUAUAUAUAUAUAUAUAUAUAUAUAUAUAUAUAUAUAUAUAUAUUAGUGGUGGCCGUUAUCGGCGUUAAGGCAAGACUCUUAUCUGGCGAUCGCCUUUAAUAUAUUCUCAAAAUUGGGUUGGGAGCUGGGUCUAUACUAAGCAAGCUAUGAUGACUUUCACCUUGAUAUUUUAUAUAACUGACUCGCUGAGGACAGCCUAAAAAGAUGCUCAGGACAGUCCUCGAAGUCCCUCCUGCUCCUUAACAAACAAAUACAAAUCACAGUUUGAACAACCAAAAAAUGUGAAAGAGCCCAAUUCAGUACUCGCGAUGUUCUGGUGUUCAGGGCUCACGCACAGAAAGGCGUCUCAAAACACUUGAACAUCGAAUUUGCUUAUUUUUGCUCUUGUGCCGACAAAUACAUACAAAACAUGUCAAAAUAUCCACCUUGGAAAUUAUGCUCGAAAAAAAUGUCAGUUAUUUCUUAAGUGAAAGUAGACAGCUGAGGAAAAAUGUGAUCUGUAUUAUAUUGGAUGCGUUCAUCGUCUCUUAAAGUGACCGCGCCUAAUUUAGCUGCUGGCUGCUGUAAUGUUAAUCCAAGAAAAUGAAAAUCACUCAUUGCUCUUGACUGAAUUACUUUGUAGUUUUAACAGAGAAACCAAAAAUUAUUUAGACAUCAGAUAUAAUUUUUGAUAUAUAUAGCGCAACUGUAAUAAUGUGAGAAAUGUGUCUGAAUAAAUGUAGGUUUGAUUGUAUAUUUCAUUUUUACAUUGAAGACUAUCCAGUGCUAUUUUACAUUUAAUUAUUUGGUUUCUGUACCUUGAUUAGUUUUCCAUAAAUAUAAAAAUAGAAAUAUUUUAUAAAUAUAUACCUUUUUUUUUCAGUUGAUGUUGCUGAUAUCAGGACUGUCGAGCGCAUACUAUAACCAGUGCUCCACAUGCAACUGUACCCUAGCUGAAAUUCAAAGUUUUGCAAAAAAUCUAGGAAUCCGCAUUUUAAAUAAGAGUAUCAGCAAAACCUCCAUGUCUCCGUGGACAUACGAGUGCACUGGGGAUACUGACAGGAUUCCUAUUUCCAUUUGUAAUGCUG
This 1128-nucleotide long non-coding RNA is filed under the name Carassius auratus (goldfish). Its description in RNAcentral is "lncRNA (ENSCARG00000017243.1)". Lineage: Eukaryota; Metazoa; Chordata; Actinopteri; Cypriniformes; Cyprinidae. The record is from RNAcentral.